UACGUAGGGUGCAAGCGUUGUCCGGAAUUAUUGGGCGUAAAGAGCUCGUAGGCGGUUCGUCGCGUCGGCUGUGAAAACCUGAGGCUCAACCUCAGGCCUGCAGUCGAUACGGGCGGACUUGAGUACUGCAGGGGAGACUGGAAUUCCUGGUGUAGCGGUGAAGUGCGCAGAUAUCAGGAGGAACACCGGUGGCGAAGGCGGGUCUCUGGGCAGUAACUGACGCUGAGGAGCGAAAGCGUGGGGAGCGAACAGG
RNAcentral lists this ribosomal RNA (253 nucleotides) under uncultured bacterium. RNAcentral's name for it is "partial 16S ribosomal RNA". It matches the Rfam family "Bacterial small subunit ribosomal RNA", at positions 524 to 776 of the family's 1533-position model. The record is from RNAcentral.